RNAcentral lists this ribosomal RNA (420 nucleotides) under uncultured bacterium. RNAcentral describes it as "bacterial SSU rRNA". It matches the Rfam family "Bacterial small subunit ribosomal RNA", at positions 356 to 773 of the family's 1533-position model. The record is from RNAcentral.
GAGGAAUAUUGGGCAAUGGGCGCAAGCCUGACCCAGCAACGCCGCGUGGAGGAUGAAUGUCGUAAGAUUGUAAACUCCUUUUGAAGGGGACGAAAAAAUAGGUUUGUAGCCUAUAUUGACUGUACCCUUAGAAGAAGCCCCGGCUAACUACGUGCCAGCAGCCGCGGUAAUACGUAGGGGGCAAGCGUUGUCCGGAUUCACUGGGUGUAAAGGGCGCGUAGGCGGGUUUGUAAGUCAGUGGUGAAAUCCUACAGCUUAACUGUAGAACUGCCUCUGAUACUGCAAGCCUUGAGUAUGGAAGAGAGAGACGGAAUUCCAGGUGUAGUGGUGAAAUACGUAGAUAUCUGGAAGAACACCAGUGGCGAAGGCGGUCUCUUGGUCCAUUACUGACGCUGAGGCGCGAAAGCGUGGGGAGCAAAC